AUACGUAGGGGGCGAGCGUUGUCCGGAAUUACUGGGCGUAAAGGGUGCGUAGGUGGCCUUUUAAGUUGGAUGUGAAAUCCCCGGGCUUAACUUGGGUGGUGCAUCUAAUACUGGAGGGCUAGAGUGCAGGAGAGGGAAGCGGAAUUCCUAGUGUAGCGGUGAAAUGCGUAGAUAUUGGAAAGAACACCAGUGGCGAAGGCGGCUCACUGGCUCGGUACUGACGCUGAGGUGCGACAGCGUGGGGAGC
Molecule: ribosomal RNA, 247 nt
Filed under: uncultured bacterium
Lineage: Bacteria
Description: partial 16S ribosomal RNA
Rfam family: Bacterial small subunit ribosomal RNA
Source: RNAcentral